RNAcentral lists this ribosomal RNA (138 nucleotides) under Staphylococcus epidermidis. RNAcentral's name for it is "partial 23S ribosomal RNA". It matches the Rfam family "Bacterial large subunit ribosomal RNA", at positions 2785 to 2925 of the family's 2925-position model. The record is from RNAcentral. Lineage: Bacteria; Bacillati; Bacillota; Bacilli; Caryophanales; Staphylococcaceae.
AGAUGAAGCCCCCCUCAAGAUGAGAUUUCCCAACUUCGGUUAUAAGAUCCCUCGAAGAUGACGAGGUUAAUAGGUUCGAGGUGGAAGCGUGGUGACACGUGGAGCUGACGAAUACUAAUCGAUCGAAGACUUAAUCAA